UGGGGAAUCUUGGACAAUGGGGGCAACCCUGAUCCAGCCAUGCCGCGUGAGUGAUGAAGGCCUUAGGGUCGUAAAGCUCUUUCGCCUGUGAAGAUAAUGACGGUAGCAGGUAAAGAAACCCCGGCUAACUCCGUGCCAGCAGCCGCGGUAAUACGGAGGGGGUUAGCGUUGUUCGGAAUUACUGGGCGUAAAGCGCACGUAGGCGGACCAGAAAGUUGGGGGUGAAAUCCCGGGGGCUCAACCCCGGAACUGCCUCCAAAACUAUUGGUCUAGAGUUCGAGAGAGGUGAGUGGAAUUCCAAGUGUAGAGGUGAAAUUCGUAGAUAUUUGGAGGAACACCAGUGGCGAAGGCGGCUCACUGGCUCGAUACUGACGCUGAGGUGCGAAAAGUGUGGGGAGCAAAACAGGAUUAGAUACCCUGGUAGUCCACACCGUAAAACGAUGAAUGCCAGUCGUCGGGUAGCAUGCUAUUCGGUGACACACCUAACGGAUUAAGCAUUCCGCCUGGGGAGUACGG
RNAcentral lists this ribosomal RNA (516 nucleotides) under uncultured bacterium. RNAcentral describes it as "bacterial SSU rRNA". It matches the Rfam family "Bacterial small subunit ribosomal RNA", at positions 355 to 885 of the family's 1533-position model. The record is from RNAcentral.